This 149-nucleotide ribosomal RNA is filed under the name uncultured Chlamydiales bacterium. Its description in RNAcentral is "partial 16S ribosomal RNA". It matches the Rfam family "Bacterial small subunit ribosomal RNA", at positions 339 to 480 of the family's 1533-position model. The record is from RNAcentral. Lineage: Bacteria; Pseudomonadati; Chlamydiota; Chlamydiia; Chlamydiales.
CUACGGGAGGCUGCAGUCGAGAAUCAUUCGCAAUGGGCGAAAGCCUGACGAUGCGACGCUGUGUGAGUGAUGAAGGCCCUCGGGUCGUAAAGCUCUUUCGCUUGGGAACAAGAGAAGCUGACUAAUAAUCGGCUAAUUUGAGGGUACCA